Molecule: transfer RNA, 72 nt
Filed under: Camelus ferus (Wild Bactrian camel)
Lineage: Eukaryota; Metazoa; Chordata; Mammalia; Artiodactyla; Camelidae
Rfam family: tRNA
About the family: Transfer RNA (tRNA) molecules are approximately 80 nucleotides in length. Their secondary structure includes four short double-helical elements and three loops (D, anti-codon, and T loops). Further hydrogen bonds mediate the characteristic L-shaped molecular structure. tRNAs have two regions of fundamental functional importance: the anti-codon, which is responsible for specific mRNA codon recognition, and the 3' end, to which the tRNAs corresponding amino acid is attached (by aminoacyl-tRNA synthetases). tRNAs cope with the degeneracy of the genetic code in two manners: having more than one tRNA (with a specific anti-codon) for a particular amino acid; and 'wobble' base-pairing, i.e. permitting non-standard base-pairing at the 3rd anti-codon position.
Source: Rfam by way of RNAcentral
GUGGGUAUAGCUCAGGGGUAGAGCAUGUGCUUAGCAUGCACAAGGUCCUGGGUUCAAUUCCCAGUACCUCUG